GACCUCGGAUCAGGAGG
RNAcentral lists this ribosomal RNA (17 nucleotides) under Aspergillus fischeri. RNAcentral describes it as "partial 28S ribosomal RNA". Lineage: Eukaryota; Fungi; Ascomycota; Eurotiomycetes; Eurotiales; Aspergillaceae. The record is from RNAcentral.